RNAcentral lists this ribosomal RNA (296 nucleotides) under Stephanopyxis turris. RNAcentral's name for it is "partial Bacterial large subunit ribosomal RNA". It matches the Rfam family "Bacterial large subunit ribosomal RNA", at positions 17 to 357 of the family's 2925-position model. The record is from RNAcentral. Lineage: Eukaryota; Bacillariophyta; Melosirophyceae; Stephanopyxales; Stephanopyxidaceae.
GCACAUGGUGGAUGCCUUGGCGAUUACAGGCGAUGAAGGACGUAGUAGCUUGCGAUAAGCUGCGGGGAGCAAGCAAACAUGCAUUGAUCCGCAGAUUUCCGAAUGGGGAAACCCGGCCUUUUAGGUCAUUGCAUACUGAAUACAUAGGUAUGCAAAGCGAACGCGGCGAACUGAAACAUCUAAGUAGCUGCAGGAAAAGAAAUCAACCGAGAUUCCCAAAGUAGUGGCGAGCGAAAUGGGAAGAGCCUGUACGUGAUAGUCGAGUUAAUAGUGGAACAGAUUGGAAACUCUGGCCA